Molecule: unclassified non-coding RNA, 197 nt
Filed under: soil metagenome
Description: partial contains 5.8S ribosomal RNA, internal transcribed spacer 2, and large subunit ribosomal RNA
Source: RNAcentral
AACGCACGAGACCUGCGGACCUGCGGAGGGAUCAUUACCGAGUUUACAACUCCCAAACCCCAUGUGAACAUACCUGUUUCGUUCCCUCGGCGGUGUCCGGCAACGGCCCGCCAGAGGACCCAACAAACUCUUUUGAACUUUUCAGUAUCUUCUGAGUGAAAAAAACAAUAAAUCAAAACUUUUAGCAACGGAUCUCU